This 429-nucleotide ribosomal RNA is filed under the name Chloroflexota bacterium. RNAcentral describes it as "Chloroflexi bacterium partial 16S ribosomal RNA". It matches the Rfam family "Bacterial small subunit ribosomal RNA", at positions 355 to 776 of the family's 1533-position model. The record is from RNAcentral. Lineage: Bacteria; Bacillati; Chloroflexota.
UGGGGAAUAUUGCACAAUGGGCGCAAGCCUGAUGCAGCCAUGCCGCGUGUAUGAAGAAGGCCUUCGGGUUGUAAAGUACUUUCAGUCGGGAGGAAGGUGGUAAGGUUAAUAACCUUAUCAAUUGACGUUACCGACAGAAGAAGCACCGGCUAACUCCGUGCCAGCAGCCGCGGUAAUACGGAGGGUGCAAGCGUUAAUCGGAAUUACUGGGCGUAAAGCGCACGCAGGCGGUUUGUUAAGUCAGAUGUGAAAUCCCCGGGCUUAACCCGGUGAUUGCAUCUGAUACUGGUCAGCUAGAGUCUUGUAGAGGGGGGUAGAAUUCCAUGUGUAGCGGUGAAAUGCGUAGAGAUGUGGAGGAAUACCGGUGGCGAAGGCGGCCCCCUGGACAAAGACUGACGCUCAGGUGCGAAAGCGUGGGGAGCAAACAGG